This 22-nucleotide microRNA is filed under the name Drosophila mojavensis. Its description in RNAcentral is "Dmo-Mir-976_5p* (star (passenger))". The record is from RNAcentral. Lineage: Eukaryota; Metazoa; Arthropoda; Insecta; Diptera; Drosophilidae.
AUUGAUGAAAGCAUCUCCAAUG